CACACCUAAAGAUUUCGUGAAAGUUUCACCGUGUUUUGAAAGCGCCAACCACUACUGCACCGUAUCCAAUCCAUCAGACACGGACACCGGCGUAGAUCAAACCAACAGACGACUGUCAUCAGUUUGUGAUCUCUCUUUGAGUCUUCUUGUUUUCCUCCUGGAUGCCACAUGACAGUCUGAUGUCAGAGACGCCUCUCCAGACCGACUUUCCAUCACAGAAGGGGCUUUUUCCCCAAACGAGUCACCUUUCCCCAGGGAACGCAGGUAGACGGGCUCCUGACUUGGACAUUCCUCACGGGUCAAUGUCACCUGAGCGAAGACAGCAUUUACAGAGAUGAGGAAGAUUUCCUACCUCCUCAAGGACGUCAGCAAGCUUACUCAGUAUUUCCUCUGGAAGACUUCGGAAUGUCGGGACGCUGCAAGUGAGACACACUUUGCAUUAUUAU
This is a non-coding RNA of Paramisgurnus dabryanus, 446 nucleotides long. NCBI's taxonomy places the organism in Eukaryota, Metazoa, Chordata, Actinopteri, Cypriniformes, Cobitidae. The record is from RefSeq and is a predicted model, not a curated record.